This 77-nucleotide transfer RNA is filed under the name Cyclophorus pyrostoma. RNAcentral describes it as "partial tRNA-Val". Lineage: Eukaryota; Metazoa; Mollusca; Gastropoda; Architaenioglossa; Cyclophoridae. The record is from RNAcentral.
AAGUUGCCCUUAGUAAAGUGUAACAUAAUUUAAUGUACCCCGCUUACAUUGGGAUAAUAUCUUAGUGAUCUCUUUAA